RNAcentral lists this ribosomal RNA (590 nucleotides) under uncultured Burkholderia sp. Its description in RNAcentral is "bacterial SSU rRNA". It matches the Rfam family "Bacterial small subunit ribosomal RNA", at positions 418 to 1003 of the family's 1533-position model. The record is from RNAcentral. Lineage: Bacteria; Pseudomonadati; Pseudomonadota; Betaproteobacteria; Burkholderiales; Burkholderiaceae.
UCGGGUUGUAAAGCACUUUUGUCCGGAAAGAAAACUUCGGCCCUAAUACGGCGGGAGGAUGACGGUACCGGAAGAAUAAGCACCGGCUAACUACGUGCCAGCAGCGCGGUAAUCGUAGGGUGCGAGCGUUAAUCGGAAUUACUGGGCGUAAAGCGUGCGCAGGCGGUUCGUUAAGACAGAUGUGAAAUCCCCGGGCUUAACCUGGGAACUGCAUUUGUGACUGGCGAGCUAGAGUAUGGCAGAGGGGGGUAGAAUUCCACGUGUAGCAGUGAAAUGCGUAGAGAUGUGGAGGAAUACCGAUGGCGAAGGCAGCCCCCUGGGCCAAUACUGACGCUCAUGCACGAAAGCGUGGGGAGCAAACAGGAUUAGAUACCCUGGUAGUCCACGCCCUAAACGAUGUCAACUAGUUGUUGGGGAUUCAUUCCCUUAGUAACGUAGCUAACGCGUGAAGUUGACCGCCUGGGGAGUACGGUCGCAAGAUUAAAACUCAAAGGAAUUGACGGGGACCCGCACAAGCGGUGGAUGAUGUGGAUUAAUUCGAUGCAACGCGAAAAACCUUACCUACCCUUGACAUGGUCGGAACCCUGCUG